CAUAAAGGGGCUGGUGCAGGUGCUCUGUCUCUUCAGGGGAGGAUGCCAUAGGAAGGACGGGCAGGCGAAAGAAUGAAGGAAAACGCCGAGAGUGGAGCACAGGAUAUGAUAAGCAGGGCGUGAGAUUGAAAACGCGUGGAAAUUGAAUAUGAAAGAUUUAUUGUAAGGGGCACUUUGAGCUGUUAUUCCUGGUUGGCAGUUGUACUAUGAUUUGGUAUGUGGCCACUUUGAUAGCAAGUGUUUUCAGCACCAGAGGAACGGCAGCUCAAGGUGCCCACGGAGUGAGAGAGGAGCCCCAGUUUGUGACGGCCCGUGCAGGAGAGAGCAUUGUUCUGGGAUGUGACGUGAGCCACCCCCUAAACGGCCAGCAGACUCCCUAUGUGGUGGAGUGGUUUAAAUUCGGUGUGCCUAUCCCCUUCUUCAUUAACUUCCGGUUCUAUCCUCCUCAUGUGGACCCUGAAUAUGCUGGUAGAGCCAGUCUGCAUGGAAAAGCUUCUCUGCAGAUUGACCAGGUGCGCUCGGAAGACCAGGGCUGGUACGAGUGCAGGGUACUCAUGCUGGAACAGCAGUACGACACCUUCCAUAAUGGCAGCUGGGUUCACCUCACAGUCAACGCGCCCCCUACGUUCACGGACACGCCACCACAGUACGUGGAGGCGAGGGAGGGCAGCAGCAUUACACUGACCUGCACUGCCUUCGGAAACCCCAAGCCAGUGGUCACCUGGCUGAGAGAGGGGGAUCAGCUGACCAGCAACAAGAAAUACACGGUGAGUGACGGUAGUUUGAUGGUGCAGGCCAUCGCGAGGGAGGACCGUGGGGCCUACAGCUGCCGUGCCCACAGUGACCAGGGGGAGGCGGUGCACACCACCCGCUUGCUGGUGCAAGGUCCUCCGUAUAUCGUAUCACCACCAGAGAACAUCACUGUUAACAUAUCCCAGAAUGCCCAAUUCACGUGCCAAGCCGAGGCGUAUCCUGGCAACCUGACCUACACCUGGUUCUGGGAAGAGGACAACGUCUACUUCAAGAACGAUCUGAAGCUUCGUGUGCGCAUCUUUAUUGAUGGAACCCUCAUCAUCUACCGAGUGAAGCCAGAGGAUGCUGGAAAAUACACCUGCAGCCCUAGUAACAGUCUGGGCAUCUCCCCCUCUGCUUCAGCUUACCUGACUGUGCAGUACCCUGCCCGUGUUAUGAACAUGCCACCUGUCAUCUACGUCCCAAGAAAAUUGCCUGGAAUCAUUCGCUGCCCAGUGGAUGCCAACCCCCCAGUUAUAUCAGUCAGAUGGGAGAAAGAUGGCUACCCUCUUAGAAUCGAGAAGUAUCCUGGAUGGAGCCAAAUGGCAGAUGGAAGCAUUCGGGUGGCAGAGGUCACUGAAGACUCCCUUGGCACCUACACCUGUGUGCCUUACAAUGUCCUAGGUACCAUGGGACAGUCCCCUCCGGCCACUCUGGUGCUAAAGGACCCCCCUUACUUCAACGUGAGGCCUGGGGGGGAGUACCGCCAGGAGGCGGGGAGAGAGCUGGUCAUCCCCUGUGCUGCCUCUGGAGACCCUGAAAUUCCAACCAUCGUAUGGAGAAAGGUUGGGAAGCCCAGCAGAAGCAAGCAUAACAUCUUAUCAAGUGGUAGCUUACAGUUUCUGUCUCUGAGCAAAGAGGAUCAUGGGGAGUGGGAAUGUGUCGCUACCAAUGUAGUAACAAGCAUCACUGCCAGCACACGCCUUUUUGUAAUAGGCACUAGUCCACAUGCGCCAACCAAUGUCCAUGUGUCAGCAUCCACAAGCUUCGCUAACGUUUCCUGGGGACCUGGAUAUGAUGGAGGCUUUGAACAGACGUUUUCGGUCUGGUACGGCCCGGUGAAAGUGAAGAAUGAUUUAGGACCACAUGAUUGGCUGUCCAUACCUGUGCCUGGUUCUCAGACGUGGUUGAUGGUACAGGGGUUGGAGCCAAAGACUGCCUAUCAAUUCAGUGUGCUGGCCCAGAACAAACUGGGCACUGGCCCCUUCAGUGAAGUAGUCACUGUGACUACAGGAGGGUAUCCUAUAAGUACCCCUGAACCCAUGGUGCUACUAACUCCACCACGGUGCCUGACAGCCAAUCGGACACAGCAGGGUGUAUUGUUGACAUGGCUUCCUCCAGCCAAUCACUCUUCACCAAUCGACCGAUACAUUAUCGAGUUCCGUCUGGGAGAGAGGUGGGAGGUUCUAGAUGACUUGAUUCCUGCCACUGAGACUGAGAUCAUAGCAAGAGACCUCAUUCAGGACUCUUGGUAUGAAUUCAGAGCGCUCGCUGUAAUGGAUGAUCUUGUCAGUGAAAGCAGUAAUGUGGUGGGAGUAUCAAGUACAGAGAUCUCAGACGAGGGGCUGGCCAAGCCAGUGGUGGCCGGUAUUGUGGCCACCAUCUGCUUCUUGGCGGCUGCCAUCUUGUUCAGUACGCUCGCUGCGUGCUUCGUCAACAAGCAGCAUCGUCGCAAACUGAAACGCAAGCGAGACCCUCCGUUAUCGAUAACCCACACAAGGAAAAGCAUCGAAUCUCCGCCUCCUCUUACCCCCUUGCCUGGCAUUGAGCCCUACUGGGAAGAGCCAGACAGGAGCAGCUACAGGCCCCCAUCCACCAGCCCUCAGCUGUCCUCUGGGAAGAUUAGUCCUGAGAGCAUCACCUCUUCCAGGCCCCCAUCUCUGGCCAGCAUGGGUGGCCACGGCCUUUAUGUGAAGAAGCUGCCAAGCCCCAGGAAAGAAAAGGAGCUUUCCCUCUAUAAGAAAACCAAGAGAGCAAUAACCAGUAAGAAGUACAGUGUGUCCAAGCAUGAGGCAGAGGUCACCACACCCAUCGAGCUGAUUAGCCGUGGACCCGAUGGCCGAUUUGUCAUGGACCCCACCGACAUCGACACUUCCCUCAAACCCCGGCGCAUUGAGGGUUUCCCCUUUGUGGAGGAAUCAGACUUGUAUCCUGAGUUCCGCCAGUCAGACGAGGAGAACGAUGACCCAGGGCCCCUACCCCCAGUCAUGGCCACCCUCAGGCCCCAGAUAUCCCCUGUGUCCUCCAGCCAGGAGUCCUACAUGCAGCCCCCAGCCUACAGUCCUCAGUUCCAGAGGCCCAUGGAAGGUAUGAGUAUCUUGGAGGGUAGUCGGCUUCAGGCCACAGGGCAGAGCCGGGUCUCCCAUUUUCACAGGGUCUUCCCUCCAGGGCCCUUCUAUGGCUAUCUAGGUAGUGGCGCUGAGGUGGAGCUUCACCCUCCUUUUUACAUGCCUGAUGUUAGCCCUCGUAGCUCUGCCAUGUCCUCCUCACCAUCAUAUCCCCCCGAGGGGCUGUUCCGCCAUCCCACCAUCCCUGAGGAGAGGGAGGAGCUGAGGAUCCAUCAGUAUGGCGCUUCAGGCCAUGCCCUCCCACUGGUGCAUAGCCCUCCCUCCUCUCGCUCGACCGAGAUCUGGCAGCCUCCUGACUUCCCCUUUCUGGGUCAGGAGGGUCCCCGUCUCGCUCUUCAACCACAUCAUUCCUCAUAUCUCCACCGGGACCUCCCUGAGCCCCCGCCAUACCCCUCCCACAGUCGCACUCUUGGCACCACCUCUCAGCUCCCUUCAAGCUCUGCUUUCCUCCAGCUGGAGGCCCCGAGAGCCCACCUGAGCAGAUCUCCCGGCAGGUUCCCGCCUCAGGGCCCUUCAGCCAAGCAUAUAACUAUGCAACAGGCCCAGAGUCUGGGGCAGUUGAGACACACUGCCCACGGUAUGGGCGUACCAGUGUUGCCUUACUCAGGCACCACUGCCCGCAUAGGGAGCCCAAGCACACUGCACAGUGAGAGCUCAGACGGCUGGAGGUCCGAGGCCCAGCCUUGGCUGAGCCCCAGGGCGGUGCGGCGGAUGGAUCUUGGCCUGCAGCAGGUGGUCCUGCAGCCGUCACGACUCUCCCCUCUCACCCAGACCCCUCCCAGCUCACAUGCCGGCUCUCCAGACAUCCUCAUCCGCCCUCCUCCCCGUCCCAGCAUCCUGCGGCCUUCACGCUCUCAAGAGAUGCCCGAGAGUGCCCGUCACCCUGCCAGUGUCUCCUUCUCCCGGAGGUCUCUCUCCUCUUCCCCCACCACCUCACCCACCCAGGGCCAGAGGGCCAGCCUCAGCUACCCCACCCACAUGGCCUUUGCCACAGCAGCGGCCAGCUACCCCUCUCAGUCCCCUUCACCCCCCACGGAGAGCAGUGAUGCUUUUGGCCAGAUGCCGUCUCAAAGAAGGACAGAUGAGGAGAUGCUUCCCUCAGAACCCUCUCCAGGCUAUCUGGGCAGCAUUGUUGUGACCAGGUCCUCUACACCACAAUAGGUAAGGGUCGAAUCCAUGUCUGAAAGGGGAGGGGUUUGCAGGCGGGGUCUUAAGUCAUUCUCAUUUAAAGGGGAAUGACAGACUUUUCAAGAUUUUGAUUACAUGACAUAAAUUAUAGAUUUGUGAAGAGUUACUUGCUCCCUGCUAACAAUAAGACCAGCCUAAGCUUGUUUGCUGGUCUUAGCUGGUUUAAGAUGGUCUAGCUGGUCUCCCAGCCUGGCCAAGCUGGUGCUUAGCUGGUCGGCCAGCUGGUCUCACAGCCUGACCUGCUGGCAAGUGCACAAAACUCCAGCAAACAGACCAGCUAAGACCAGCAAACCAGCUUUAAUAUGUAUUUUUCAGCAGGGCUUAUAAACACUGCAGUUUUUUUCUUUUUUUUUUUAAACAUUUCUAUGAGACUCAAGUACAGAAAAUUGUCCGUUUUUUUUUUUUUUACAAUAUUUCACACUUGCGCCCUUUCAGAGGCAGACUUGGACAUUCCCCUUUAAAAUUUUGUUUCCAUGACAAAAAUAUCAUGCAUGCCUUCUCUAAAUACUCUUCCUCGAUCCCGAAUCAGUAACAGCAGUUCUCAAACUAAAAUUUCUUGUCACAUCUGUUGUUCUAGUGGUUUGGUUCAUUUCUUUUAUGUAACUGUUCUUUGCUGGCCAUUCUCCCCUCCCUGCCAUCUCUUCUCCUGUCAGCAUGGUGAAGCCACUGUACAGUGUAUUCAUGGUAACCAGAGUGUGUUUGAUGUGACGGAUUGUAGUGCUCAGUAUGUCUACCUCCCCUCUCUAUUAACCACUUUCACUUUCUCUUUCCACAGCCUCAGCAGCAAGGGACACUGUCUAUAAACGCUUUGUGUUUCUGUGCCUUGUGAACCCAUGAGUUGUUGGCUGACUCUUCAGUAUGGACGUUUGAAUGUCAUGAUCUCUGCCAUGAUAGAGGAAUGGCAUGUAUGAUAAAAGACAACACUUUUCAGGACACGUGACCUCGUUGUGGUCAGUUUAAUAGAAACUUGAACUCAGUGUGCUUACUGGGAAAUUGGAUUUUGGCUAGUAGUAAUUUGAUUGGACAGUGCUGGCAGCAUGGCAGCAGUGUACAACGUGAGGUAAAAGGUUUUGUCAUGCUAAUUUAGGUUCAUUCACAUAGCAGCUGUAGAAAAUGAAUAAAAAGUGCUAACUUCAAUUUAGCAGACUAACCAAACUAAUAUGAUGUGCUUUUAAUUUAGUACCCACGCGCUGUACUUAAUCAAGAAGGAUUUUUGUGAAAAAUUAUUUUUAUUUGGAAAUUUUUAUGUUAAAAAUGAAAAAUGUUGAACAACCAAUUGUAGUUAAGAUCAUGAUUUCAUUUAGAUAAACCGUAAAAAAAAUAAAAAAAUAAAUAAAUAAAAAUUCUACAUAAUAUCUAACAAGAGUUAUUUUGCAACUCGUCCAAAGUUGAUUCAUUGCUAAAUUGCACAGCACAUGUUGAUGAAUGGUACUUUUGUACUUUUGUCACAAAGGUAUUAAAAUUGCAUCUGACAUUGGGGAGCCCGAGAGUUACGAGAAGUUCCAAAUCUGAGUUUAAACACACCGAUGGAGGGCAGUACACCCUGGUGGUUGUGUAAAGUAAUGCAACAUUAUGUUUGUCCCUCACAGGGAGCAUCUAGGAGAAGUGAGAGUCCCUGCAGGGUCUGAGAGUUUUGAAGCACUGAUUUAUUAUUGUAUUAAUAAAGCCAAGAAAUCAUCAGCCAACAAGAACAACAACUCCAGAUUCAAGAAAAGGACAGAUAUGUCGUCCUCUCAGACCCUGCAGCCGCAUGCAUCUCAGGCCUCUGAGCAAAGAGAACAUCUCAGCUCUCCCUCCAAGAAAAAGUGGAAAAGUCCACUUAGAAAGCCUCCCUGUCUCCAUCUUUCCUCUCUGCUGCGUUGGCUUCACCCCAGAGAAGACAGGAAGUCACUCCUGGCCAGUAUGGACCCAGCCCCCUCAAACUAUGGCUCUCUACUCUGAGAGCCCUCCGAAAUACACUAACCUUAUCCUUGUCCAUUAGCAAAAAUGUACAAUGGAUAUGCUCUCAGUACUGUUUUGUAAUCAGUCUAAACUAGAAACGAUUUAUUAUCUUCGUUUGGCACAAUAUCCUACACAUACACAUAUCUGUAUUUUCUGUAAAUUUACACAAAGGUAAAAGUACAGGGGUGCUACUCUUUUAGAAGAAAGGAAAAAGGACAGGAAAAGCUCUUUGUUUCAUACUGAAAAUAAAAGAAAAGCAAUCCAUUACAUUUUAGGAAAAAGGCCACUUCAGUAAUUGUAAUCCGUUAUUAAAUGUCAGAAUUGUGUAUAUUGUGAAGGAUAGAGAGUUUAAUACUCUGUACAGACAUGUCCCUCAAGAUGUGAUAGGGAUUACUACAGGGUUUCUUAUCUUCCUUCUACAAAAUAUACCUAAAAACAAAACAGAAAAAAAAAGAAGAAAUAAUCUGGCACAUAUUUCAGCACUUCUACCAUAUUUUGUGCAAGCUAACAUAUUUCAUUUUGAAUGACAAAUGUGGUCUGUUUCUGGCAAAGCUUCAACAGUCUUACAGAAUAUGAGGGAUUAAGCCCAAAAAGAUCAACAUAAUUUGUUCCAUCAAUUUUUUUUAAAUUUUUUUUUUAAUUAAAAUAUUACAAAUUAAAUAUAAAGCACAGAAUAUCAUAGAAAUUGUAAGCUUCAAAAGACAGGCUUUGGUUGGCUGCAAUACUAAACAGGUUAUGGGAAAAUAUUUGAACAGCUAUUCAGUUAUUUAUGUUGUGAACGCUCAGAUUGAACCAGUUUUGAAUUCCAAGCAAAGGCAGGUGGAAGAGAACACGUUGAUAUGAUUUACAUUCUAUAUUAUUUAUGACACAUAGGCCUACUAUUGAACGGUUUAGGCACUUUUUUAUAUCAGUUUGAAGACAUUAUUUAAAGACAUGACAGCUAAAGUGGUUGGAGGUAGAAUAAUAUUAGCCCCCUCAAAAAAGAUUCAGGUUCACAUUGAAUGUUAGAAAUAUGCUUUUUGACAAGUUCAGAUGACAUAUUUACCAAUGUAAUAUUUAAACUAAAGUACAGUUAUUUGGUCCUUGUCUUGCACAAAUGUAGUUAGAAGUGGUGAAAUGCAUUAUUGCGAGGAUAUUAUCAUGAGGAUAAAUAAUAAUUUGAUAUAUGUUGCUUUAGACAUACACAAAGUUCAGUAGAUAUUGUGCAGACUAAUGAAGAUAUCAGUAUAACAGCAAAAUGAAAUAAUCAGUGUUUUCUACAGAAGUGAACCUCCAAAAGUGUUCUUUUUUUAAAACAAUUUUCAAGUUGAUUAAAUUGUACUCUUGAAUUCAUCUUUAGUACUGUAUGUAUCAUCCAUCUCAGCUCACCUGAAUAAUAGCAAAGUUUGUGUGAAUUGAAUUAUUAAUGAUUUCAGCUGUUCAUUGUAUCCAGAGUUCACUAACAGCUGCUGAUUAAGCUAAUCGAGCGUUUAGUUUAGUUUAACCGAUGGUGAAUGUAUGGUUUGCUCUUAGAAGAUCAGAUUUAUCUGAAUAUUUUCAAUGUGGUUCAAUGUGUUUUAGUUCAUUUAGAUGCCAAUGCGAUCAACUCCAAAAUGAAUCUUCUCCAAAUUUCUCUUAUGGGGUUUUUGUAGCUAAAGUUUAAUAAUUAAGUACGAUGUAAUAGGAAUGUGAAUAUCUUGCAGUACUUGAACCAGAGUAUACAAGCAGAGAACACUGGGAUGAAAUUCUGUGAAUAAAGAUUCACAGAAUAGUCACACUUUAAUUGCACACAAAAAAGGUGACAUUGAGUGUAGACGAUUUGACUUAAGUGCCCAAAAGGCUGUUUACUUGUAACAUGAAAAAAAAAAAAAAAAAAAAAAAUCAAAUAUUUCACUGCACAGUGAUUAUUUCAACAUAUGUCUUUGUCAAUUGCUUUUCACCCCACAUGGUGUGUACCAAUUCAUAAGGCUGCUUUAAAUAUGUUGUCUCCCAGAGGACGGGGGCAGUGGCUAUUUUAGCUGUCGGGAGAGAAAUAUUAGACUUAACUGUUUUUGCAACACAUCCUGUCUAUACAAGUUCUGUCAAGAACACGUCAUACAUAAGUCCUACAAAAGCCACAUAAUGUUUACAUGAUCUAGAACUAACGUGCGAGGAUGUAGGCACAUUGUACACAUUAUGACUUGGUGCUAUGUCUUUUCGAACUCGUGGUGCUGUGGUUCAGAGGUUAACACAAACUCACGCACAGUCCUCUGUCUUUAACUAAACUAGCUUCAUUGUGGUUUCCUUUGUUGAGUUCUCCGGGUGUGUAGGACUGCAAGCAAUAAAAACCUAUUUCACAGGGCAGGUCCUGUGCUCUCACUAUGUUUCACCAUGGAAAUGGCAAAGGUGUUUAGUACAGUUCCACGGUCAGAUUUCAAAUGUGCUUACAUUAUUAAGUAAUCAUAAGAAAAACCCAACAUAUAUAGAAAGGUUUAUAAAGAAGAAUUUGCUAGACUUGAGGAGGCAGCAUAUCAAUAUGUAAUAUGUGAAAUGUACUCACGGUAUGAUAGUAAUGUUUUUAUUUAGCAUGGUAAGGAACUGGGAACAUAAACAGGUGUGAAAGACAGCAUUUCUGUUUUAUAGCGUUCUUCAUGGACAUAGCGGAGUAAUGCACCCUUGCAUAAAUCUGUGACACUGAUUAAAAAUGCAGAUGCAGUGUCGCUUUAUAUCUGUGGAUGGUGAUUGACAGCGUUGUAUUUUAUCCAGCUCCUCUGGUCUCUGAAUGGAGCACCCAUCAAAAACAAUUUUCUUGUUGAAUAUACUGUAUACGAUACUGUACAGGUAGACAUGCCCCUUUUGGCUUGUAAUGGACAAAUGUCUAAGAGGGUUAAUUGGAAAUGAAGUGUCAUAUUAACUCUUUGAUUGCCUGUAUUCAGUUAUUGUGCUUACUUCUUAUGGUUCUUUGUGAAACUUUAUUUCCUUUUUCUGUUGAUUGAACAGUACUAACAUUACAUAACUGAGAAAGUUACUCUGAUUUCACUCAUUCAGACCUGUUUGUCUUGUUUCAGAUAAAGCACAUCUUUUUGUUCUUUAUUCUUUGCUGUUCAUAUUACAAGCACUGAAAUCUUAGAAUGUAAUACUGCAUUAUGCACUAAUUUACGACUGUUUUAACAUUAAACCUCAUUCUUAGAGAAAGUGCUUACUUUAAGCAUAUUUCAAACUGCAUUGUUGUGCUUUUUAACUGCUUUUAAAUUUGUGUUGUACAUUGUUUACAGAUUAUAUUAUCUGAAGAGGUAUUGUGGGCAAACAUGUUUUUCAUCCUGACACCUUAAAUGCAAUGUAUAAGAGACUGUUCUCAUAUGAAGAAAAAGAAAAAUCAUAAAAUAAUAUAUUUUUUUCCUGAUUUAUUUGAUUGAAUGACUUGACCGGAGGCUUCUUUGUUCAGUUAUUGGAUUUAUUUCAGGUAUUAUUCUCAAACAGUAUGGUGCUGUACCAAAGCCUUAUGUAAAAUAUUACUACAAUGUAUUGUUUGAUUCUUCUGCCACUGCAACUGGAAUUUACCAAGAAAUUGCUAGACAAAACUGAUUAUGACACAUGGUGCGGUGUGCCUCUAUAUUCUCGUCCUUGAUUAAUACUCCAAAGUGUUUUUCCACGGACAUUCGGUGUCUCCACAUGCUCAGAUGUUAAGAUAUGGUGCCUGGUGUCUUCAUGCUGCUAGGAGUAAAUGUGAAUGGUGUUUCAUUUCUGCACAACCAACAUCUGAAGUGUGACAUUUUAACCUCCACAGUAGUUGAUUCAGCAUCUUGAUAUUAAAAGGGAACAACCCUGCAGUAAGCAAUGGUAUUUUUAGAGAAUAAACAAAACCACUGUUCUA
Molecule: RNA transcript, 10101 nt
Organism: Myxocyprinus asiaticus (Chinese sucker)
Lineage: Eukaryota; Metazoa; Chordata; Actinopteri; Cypriniformes; Catostomidae
Gene name: protein turtle homolog B-like
Exons: 21
Source: RefSeq, a predicted model, not a curated record